CACAGCUCCUCUCUCUCUCUUGCUGCCCUUCUCCUUCACCGUUCGAACUCCAGCGCUCAUCUCACGCCAGCUGCUCCGCCAUUAUUUGGUUUCCCUCGGUCAACUCCAGCAGAAUUCUCCAAGUGAAGCCAAUUUGUUGACCUCCAAAGCUCCACCGAAGACCCUCAUCUCACGCCAGCAGGUUACCCGAAGCAGCUCCAGUUUACGUGGCCGUCUUCAGCUUCUUCAGUCCACGGUUCCACCGGUUUGUUGACCUUGCACCGCCUUCUUCAUCCAGCUGCGCGAAGACCAGUUGCCGAAACAACUCCAUCGCCCCGCCCCAUCUUGGACCGCCAGCAGAACCCACCGAACUCCCCCUCGCUUCCUCGUUGUUGCCUCCAUUUUUCCGUGUGAAGAAAACCGAGCGAAGCCUCCACCGCUUGCAGCAGCUCCUUCGACAACGUCCCAGCUGCAGCUUUCCUACACGCGUACGAGACACCACCCAACGAAGACUGCACAGCUCACGCGUGAUUUUCCUGCUCCACGCGGCCAGCGUCCAUUUCCUUUGCUCGUGGACCAGCCGCAGCGAGCCCAUUCCGGUUUUCAGUGGCCCAAUUUCAGCUCAUUGGAAGCCCGUGAGCAAGCAGCCCACGAAAUUGCAGCUCCAAUUCAGUCCGCAAUUCCAGCCCGCCUUCAAUUCCAGCAGCCCAUCUUGAAGCCAGCAGGUUCUAUUUCAGUCAAGCCCGGCCCAAGACUUCAGCCCUACUUAAGUUCAGCUCAGCCCAUCUUCAGCAGGCCCAAUCCAACUUGGGUCCAGCCCAAAAGCAAGAACAAAUCUCAGUUGGGCUAAGAUUUUUUGGGCCAAGUUUAAGGCCCAGUCCAAGCUCGCCGGUGUCGUCGAAAGCCCAAUUUCGGCCGCCGUCGCGGUCUCCCGGUCCCCGCUUUUAAUCAAAAAAGAAAAUUGUAGAAACAUGCAAAGAAUUAUUGUGGGCAUGCUGAUCUCCUUCUACAGGCACUAGUCGCUUGAAUCUUAAAAUACAACAACAAGAGCACGAUAUGCAUCCCCCAUGCUCCGACAGUCAAGGUUGUAAAUGGUAAUACUCCAAUUUCGUUGUUCUUUUGUUCUUUUGUUUCUCGGAACGAAAAAAGAAUUAAAAUUCGUUUAGUAAUGUCAACUAAUUUUUUUAUUUUCC
Eucalyptus grandis is the source of this 1172-nucleotide long non-coding RNA. RefSeq lists it as uncharacterized. The record is from RefSeq and is a predicted model, not a curated record. The transcript is spliced from 3 exons. Lineage: Eukaryota; Viridiplantae; Streptophyta; Magnoliopsida; Myrtales; Myrtaceae.